This 344-nucleotide unclassified non-coding RNA is filed under the name soil metagenome. Its description in RNAcentral is "partial contains 5.8S ribosomal RNA, internal transcribed spacer 2, and large subunit ribosomal RNA". The stretch from base 1 to 120 matches the Rfam family "5.8S ribosomal RNA", at positions 35 to 154 of the family's 154-position model. The record is from RNAcentral.
GAUGAAGAACGUAGCGAAAUGCGAUAAGUAAUGUGAAUUGCAGAAUUCAGUGAAUCAUCGAGUUUUUGAACGCAUAUUGCGCCCUCUGGUAUUCCGGGGGGCAUGCCUGUUCGAGCGUCAUUAAAUAACCCUCAAGCAUAGCUUGGUGUUGGGCUUUUUUACGUCCUUGACUGGGAUGGGCCUAAAAAUUAGUGGCGAUGGCUUUUUUACUUUCAAGCGUAGUAAAUCUCGUCUUGCUAAAGAGGAAAAAGAUUUUUUUUCUGCCAAAAAUUUUAACAUUUAAAGUUGACCUCGGAUCAGGUAGGAUUACCCGCUGAACUUAAGCAUAUCAAUAAGCGGAGGAA